GGAUCCUUGAAUAGCCCUCAUAGUGUGGAGAAAUCUCUAUCACCCAAACCAUAAACAGACACUUAAGUUGAUUCAAACAAAAAAUUAGGUAUUCAACCUACAUGUAUCAGGAUACAUACUUGUACAUAUGUAUGACACUGAUUUUGUUAUCAGACACUUAACCUAAACCUUUAUUAUCAGACACACAUGCAUACCAUUAUGUAUCUUGUAUAUAUCUUGCAGCAUAUAGUGUGCAAGAUACAUAAAAGUAUACAAUGAUGUAUCAGA
This 267-nucleotide long non-coding RNA is filed under the name Lactuca sativa (garden lettuce). RNAcentral's name for it is "long non-coding RNA (LSAT_LNC006921)". Lineage: Eukaryota; Viridiplantae; Streptophyta; Magnoliopsida; Asterales; Asteraceae. The record is from RNAcentral.